UACGUAGGGCGCAAGCGUUGUCCGGAAUUAUUGGGCGUAAAGCGUCCGCAGACGGUUUGGUAUGUCAUAGGUCAAAUCUUGAAGCUCAACUUCAAGGCUGCUUGUGAAACUGCCAUACUAGAGACUGGAAGAGGUAAGCGGAAUUAUCGGUGUAGCGGUAAAAUGCGUUAAUAUCGAUAAGAACACCAAAUGCGAAGGCAGCUUACUGGUACAGUUCUGACGUUAAGGGACGAAAGCGUGGGGAGCGAAUGGG
This 253-nucleotide ribosomal RNA is filed under the name uncultured bacterium. RNAcentral's name for it is "partial 16S ribosomal RNA". It matches the Rfam family "Bacterial small subunit ribosomal RNA", at positions 524 to 776 of the family's 1533-position model. The record is from RNAcentral.